RNAcentral lists this ribosomal RNA (253 nucleotides) under uncultured bacterium. Its description in RNAcentral is "partial 16S ribosomal RNA". It matches the Rfam family "Bacterial small subunit ribosomal RNA", at positions 524 to 776 of the family's 1533-position model. The record is from RNAcentral.
UACGUAGGGGGCAAGCGUUGUCCGGAAUCAUUGGGCGUAAAGCGCGCGUAGGCGGCCCGGUAAGUCCGCUGUGAAAGUCAAAGGCUCAACCUUUGAAUGUCAGCGGAUACUGCCGGGCUAGAGUCCGGAAGAGGCGAGUGGAACUCCUGGUGUAGCGGUGGAAUGCGCAGAUAUCAGGAAGAACACCGAUGGCGAAGGCAGGUCUCUGGGCCACUACUGACGCUGAGAAGCGAAAGCAUGGGGAGCGAACAGG